UUAAUGAGAGUUUGAUCCUGGCUCAGGACGAACGCUGGCGGCGUGCCUAAUACAUGCAAGUAGAACGCUGAGGUUUGGUGUUUACACUAGACUGAUGAGUUGCGAACGGGUGAGUAACGCGUAGGUAACCUGCCUCAUAGCGGGGGAUAACUAUUGGAAACGAUAGCUAAUACCGCAUAAGAGUAAUUAACACAUGUUAGUUAUUUAAAAGGAGCAAUUGCUUCACUGUGAGAUGGACCUGCGUUGUAUUAGCUAGUUGGUGAGGUAAAGGCUCACCAAGGCGACGAUACAUAGCCGACCUGAGAGGGUGAUCGGCCACACUGGGACUGAGACACGGCCCAGACUCCUACGGGAGGCAGCAGUAGGGAAUCUUCGGCAAUGGACGGAAGUCUGACCGAGCAACGCCGCGUGAGUGAAGAAGGUUUUCGGAUCGUAAAGCUCUGUUGUUAGAGAAGAACGUUGGUAGGAGUGGAAAAUCUACCAAGUGACGGUAACUAACCAGAAAGGGACGGCUAACUACGUGCCAGCAGCCGCGGUAAUACGUAGGUCCCGAGCGUUGUCCGGAUUUAUUGGGCGUAAAGCGAGCGCAGGCGGUUCUUUAAGUCUGAAGUUAAAGGCAGUGGCUUAACCAUUGUACGCUUUGGAAACUGGAGGACUUGAGUGCAGAAGGGGAGAGUGGAAUUCCAUGUGUAGCGGUGAAAUGCGUAGAUAUAUGGAGGAACACCGG
RNAcentral lists this ribosomal RNA (727 nucleotides) under Streptococcus agalactiae. Its description in RNAcentral is "bacterial SSU rRNA". It matches the Rfam family "Bacterial small subunit ribosomal RNA", at positions 1 to 712 of the family's 1533-position model. Lineage: Bacteria; Bacillati; Bacillota; Bacilli; Lactobacillales; Streptococcaceae. The record is from RNAcentral.